GCUAGCGUAGCUUAAAACAAAGCAUAGCACUGAAGAUGCUAAGAUGAGUCCUAAAAAACUCCGCAUGCA
This 69-nucleotide transfer RNA is filed under the name Barbonymus altus (red tailed tinfoil). RNAcentral's name for it is "tRNA-Phe". It matches the Rfam family "tRNA". Rfam says of the family: Transfer RNA (tRNA) molecules are approximately 80 nucleotides in length. The record is from RNAcentral. Lineage: Eukaryota; Metazoa; Chordata; Actinopteri; Cypriniformes; Cyprinidae. RNAcentral also lists the same sequence under 1 other name.